Molecule: ribosomal RNA, 1970 nt
Filed under: human gut metagenome
Description: bacterial LSU rRNA
Rfam family: Bacterial large subunit ribosomal RNA
Source: RNAcentral
GAAAGUAAUGAAGGGCGUACGGUGGAUGCCUAGGCUCUUACAGGCGAUGAAGGACGUGAUAAGCUGCGAAAAGCCGCGGUGAGGCGCAAAUGGCCCUUGACCCGCGGAUCUCCGAAUGGGACAACCCAAUAUCUUGAAGAGAUAUUAUCCCGCCGGUGCGGGAGGCGAACGCGGGGAACUGAAACAUCUUAGUACCCGCAGGAAAAGAAAAUAAAGAAUGAUUCCCCCAGUAGUGGCGAGCGACCGGGGAACAGCCCAAACCGACGUUGUCUCGGCAUCGUCGGGGUUGUAGGACCGCGCCAUCGCAAGAAAGGCCGUGAGUGGAAGCGACUGGAAAGCCGCGCCAUAGAGGGUGACAGCCCCUUACACGAAGCAGCCCGAAGCGUAGCGGACUCCUGAGUAGCGCGGGACACGAGUAAUCCUGUGUGAAUCCGCCGGGCCCAUCCGGCAAGGCUAAAUACUCGUAAGAGACCGAUAGUGAACCAGUACCGUGAGGGAAAGGUGAAAAGUACCCCUUGCAGGGGAGUGAAAGAGUUCCUGAAACCGUACGCCUACAAGCGGUCGGAGCAUCUUGAAUGAUGUGACGGCGUGCCUUUUGCAUAAUGAACCUACGAGUUGCCGUCACCAGCGAGGUUAAGUGCGAUGACGCACCGAGCCGCAGCGGAAGCGAGUCUUAAAAGGGCGCAAUAGUUGGUGGAGGCAGACGCGAAACCGAGUGAUCUACACUUGUCCAGGAUGAAGUCCCGGUAACACGGGAUGGAGGUCCGCACCAAUAAGCGUUGAAAAGCUUCUGGAUGAGGUGAGUGUAGGAGUGAAAGGCCAAUCAAACUCGGAGAUAGCUCGUACUCCCCGAAAGGCAUUUAGGUGCCGCCUGUGGCGUUCCCGACGUGAGGUAGAGCGACUGAUAGGAUGCGAGGGCUUCACCGCCUAUCAAGUCCUGACAAACUCCGAAUGCACGUCGGCCAAGCCAUGGAGUAAGGGCAUGGGUGCUAAGGUCCGUGCCCGAGAGGAGAAGAAUCCAGACCACCGGCUAAGGUCCCGAAAUACUGGUUAAGUUAGACUAACGCAGUCCGGCCCCCAAGACAGCUAGGAUGUUGGCUUGGAAGCAGCCAUUCAUUCAAAGAGUGCGUAACAGCUCACUAGUCGAGGAGCUGGGCGUGGAUAAUAAUCGGGUAUGAAACCAGUUACCGAAGCCGUGGGAUGCUUAAGCAUCGGUAGGGGAGCAUUGCAUGCGGCUUAGAAGGCGGGGCGCGAGCCCCUCUGGAGCGCAUGGAAACGCAAAUGUAGGUAUAAGUAACGACAAGGGGGGUGGGAUGCCCCCCCGCCGAAAGACCAAGGUUUCCUGAACAACGCUAAUCGGUUCAGGGUCAGUCGGGUCCUAAGCAUAAGCCGUAUGGCGAGGGCGAUGGACGAAACGGUUAAUAUUCCGUUACUGUCUUGGUGUGUGACGCGGCGACGGAGUAGUGACACGGCCGCCUCCUGACGGAAAAGGGGGUUGAAGCGCAAAGGUGUCGAGGAAGGCAGGCAAAUCCACCUUCCGAGCCGAAGCGCGAAAGUACGCCGGGCCCUUUGGGGCAAGGCGAUAGUGCCGGUAAUCAGACUUCCAAGAAAACCCGCUAAACUUCAGCACCAAGUCACCCGUACUCUAAACGGACACACGUGGUCGGGUAGAAUAUACUAAGGCGCUUGGGAGAUUCACGGUUAAGGAACUAGGCAAAUUGACCCCGUACCUUCGGAAUAAGGGGUCCUCGCUUUUGCGAGGCGCAGAGAAUAGGUCCAGGCAACUGUUUAACAAAAACACAGGGCUGUGCAAAUUUGAAAGAAGAAGUAUACAGCCUGACACCUGCCCGGUGCCGGAAGGUUAAGAGGAGAGCUCAUCAGCGAUGAGAAGGCUUGAAUUGAAGCCCCGGUAAACGGCGGCCGUAACUAUAACGGUCCUAAGGUAGCGAAAUUCCUUGUCGGGUAAGUUC